AUUGAACGCUGGCGGCAGGCCUAACACAUGCAAGUCGAACGGUAACAGGAAGAAGCUUGCUUCUUUGCUGACGAGUGGCGGACGGGUGAGUAAUGUCUGGGAAACUGCCUGAUGGAGGGGGAUAACUACUGGAAACGGUAGCUAAUACCGCAUAACGUCGCAAGACCAAAGAGGGGGACCUUCGGGCCUCUUGCCAUCGGAUGUGCCCAGAUGGGAUUAGCUAGUAGGUGGGGUAACGGCUCACCUAGGCGACGAUCCCUAGCUGGUCUGAGAGGAUGACCAGCCACCCUGGAACUGAGACACGGUCCAGACUCCUACGGGAGGCAGCAGUGGGGAAUAUUGCACAAUGGGCGCAAGCCUGAUGCAGCCAUGCCGCGUGUAUGAAGAAGGCCUUCGGGUUGUGAAGUACUUUCAGCGGGGAGGAAGGGAGUAAAGUUAAUACCUUUGCUCAUUGACGUUACCCGCAGAAGAAGCACCGGCUAACUCCGUG
RNAcentral lists this ribosomal RNA (490 nucleotides) under uncultured bacterium. RNAcentral's name for it is "partial 16S ribosomal RNA". It matches the Rfam family "Bacterial small subunit ribosomal RNA", at positions 30 to 507 of the family's 1533-position model. The record is from RNAcentral.